GACGGAGGAUGCAAGUGUUAUCCGGAAUCACUGGGCGUAAAGCGUCUGUAGGUGGUUUAAAAAGUCCACUGUUAAAAAUUGAAGCUUAACUUCAAAGAUGCCGUGGAAACUUUUAAACUUGAGGAUGAUAGGGGUAGAGGGAAUUUCCAGUGGAGCGGUGAAAUGCGUAGAUAUUGGAAAGACCACCAAUGGCGAAGGCACUCUACUGGGCCAUUACUGACACUGAGGGACGAAAGCUAGGGGAGCGAAUGGG
This 253-nucleotide ribosomal RNA is filed under the name uncultured bacterium. Its description in RNAcentral is "partial 16S ribosomal RNA". It matches the Rfam family "Bacterial small subunit ribosomal RNA", at positions 524 to 776 of the family's 1533-position model. The record is from RNAcentral.